This 497-nucleotide ribosomal RNA is filed under the name uncultured bacterium. Its description in RNAcentral is "partial 16S ribosomal RNA". It matches the Rfam family "Bacterial small subunit ribosomal RNA", at positions 28 to 507 of the family's 1533-position model. The record is from RNAcentral.
GAUGAACGCUGGCGGCGUGCCUAAUACAUGCAAGUAGAACGCUGAAGGAAGGAGCUUGCUCUUUCCGGAUGAGUUGCGAACGGGUGAGUAACGCGUAGGUAACCUGCCUGGUAGCGGGGGAUAACUAUUGGAAACGAUAGCUAAUACCGCAUAACAGUAGAUGUUGCAUGAUAUCUACUUAAAAGGUGCAAUUGCACCACUACCAGAUGGACCUGCGUUGUAUUAGCUAGUUGGUGAGGUAACGGCUCACCAAGGCGACGAUACAUAGCCGACCUGAGAGGGUGAUCGGCCACACUGGGACUGAGACACGGCCCAGACUCCUACGGGAGGCAGCAGUAGGGAAUCUUCGGCAAUGGACGGAAGUCUGACCGAGCAAUGCCGCGUGAGUGAAGAAGGUUUUCGGAUCGUAAAGCUCUGUUGUAAGAGAAGAACGAGUGUGAGAGUGGAAAGUUCACACUGUGACGGUAUCUUACCAGAAAGGGACGGCUAACUACGUG